Molecule: long non-coding RNA, 1383 nt
Organism: Notolabrus celidotus (New Zealand spotty)
Lineage: Eukaryota; Metazoa; Chordata; Actinopteri; Labriformes; Labridae
Exons: 4
Source: RefSeq, a predicted model, not a curated record
GGCCACCUGCAUUCUCGCGAUAUCUCAUGCAAUCGCGUGUUUUCAGCACUUGUCUGUGCGCGCGCGCUCCACAACUCCGACGGUUAAAACUUCAACUUCAAACCUCAACAGCUCUGCCCUGCUCCACUCGAUAGACGCAGAAUUAAAACGAGUCACAAGGAUGCCUCUACAAGUCAAGGUUUUUAUCACAGCCUGACAUACACUCUGAAAGUUUGCUGAAGGUGUUUGGGAAGCGUCCAGGGCAGCAGGGCAAAAAGCUAAAGGAAAUGGCUUCCAUGAUGACGGAUGACAUCGAUGCUGGCAGGGAGGCCAUCAUAUAAGGACUCAGCAUUUACCUCAAUGAAGAUCCUAAUGAUCUGGUGCAAGAGUACAUGGACCUGACUGAUGCCAACACACUGGGCGCCAUAGAUGGAACAACGGUGGGAAUCUAUGUUUCCAGAGAGACUCCAAACAGUGACUCUUCUGAUGUGGGUAUAAUCAUCGAGGGCGUCGUGGCACUUCAUGGUCUGGAGACUGUUGCCCUUGCAUCAAACCUGCUGUUUGGACUUUUUACUCCUUAAACAUGAAGCACCCUCCAAAGCUUCGCUACACAUUUGAAGUAAUACAGAAGGUAAUUAUGGAACUCAAUGCAACUGAUCUAUCAAGAAAGGCCCAAACCCUGAAAAUGCAUCAGUAAGGAGAGCUUACAACUCCUGGAAAAGCAACAUGACUUACAGCUCCACGUUCCUGAUGUGGCUGGCCCUUUUCAGAAAAGUUCUUAAAUGGUUUUAUGUAUUUUUUACACUGUUUAUGUUUCUGCCUUUUCACUGUGUAACUCUGAACAUUUUCGUCCCUUAUGACGCAGAUGAUAUGACUGCAUACUAGAAAUACAAGGCAGUUUGGUGGGAGUUGGUUCCACCCUGUAGAAUCAAUAGUAUCUGCUGUGUUGUGCGAUUUCUCGUUGAAAAUAUGUUGUGCCCUUUUAAAUUUGCACAUUAAAAGUUGGGACACCAUUCGUUCUUCCAGGUAUUAGAGUUAAGGGAUUAAAUGAUGAAUAAUUUUCUGACUGUCAUGUGAUUUACAGUUCUGUGUUCGUGGACUGUGUUGUGGCUGACCCUCAGGAAUGUUCUUAUCUUCUAGAGAAGGUUCUUAUGUAUGUUUGCACUGUUUAUGUAGUACACUGCUUUUAUACUGUGUGUAACUGAAAAAGUUGGAAGUACGAGUCAAUCUUUGAGGCAGAUGAUAUGGCUGCAAGAUAGAAAUGAAAGGCAGUUUGGUGAGAAUUUGUGUCACCUGGUUGAAUCUGUAUCUGCUGUGCAUUUUCUUAUUGGAGUUAUUUGACAAAUGUAUGUGCACUUUUGUGACUUCCACGUUGUGGAAUUAAAGUUUAGACUCAUUUUCAAA